AGCAGGUAAAGUUACAGUUCCCUCCCCUGAGCCCAUUGAGUUUUAAGUCACGUGAGUGUCACAAGUCGGUCUCACCAACCAGCCAAUCACAGUGCACCCCCUCACCUGAGUAUUAAUCACCUGCACCUGUUCACUAUUAUCCAAUCAGCUCAACACCUCAUUUAAGCACACACCUCAGUCUCUCACGUUGUUCGAUCUUGUAGCCAGUACAUGGAACUUCUCCGGUAUUCUGUUAUUAGCUUUGACUCUCCAAACCAAGCUUUCUCCUAACCUCCUUGAUUACAUGAUCCUCCAAGACUCCUGUGUUUCCCCAGCAAUUCUCCAACGACUUCUCUUCCAAGUUCUCCUCUCCUUCAUCUCUCCCAAGGAGCUGGAAAAGGUUUGGUUGUGUGACACUGGAUAUCUGUUCAGAGAGUUGAUCUCAGAUCAGAGACACACAGGACACACACAGCCUCGCUUUCUCCUGAGCGUCAGUGGAGCAGAGCAGAGUGUGUAACAGUCACCAAACCCCCACAGAGUCUCUGGGUUCAGACUGUAACGCUGGAGAACAGCAGACGCCACUGAAGAUGAGCUCCGUCACACUGCUGGACUACAGGAAGACGAGGAGAGAAACCACAGCUGAGCAACAACAGAGCCAUGAUGAGGAUUUCAAUCCUUCAGAUCAGCAGCUGAUUGGACGGCUGCGGUGUGUCCUCAGAGUCUGUUGGAGAAGGGAUCUGUACGGAAAGCUGGAUGUUCUCUGACUGGAUGUUCUGGGAAAGAGACAGAUCCCUCUUUACUGGAAAACAGUCCAUGAUCUGCUUCCCAGAGUCUCCAGGGUGAAUGUUCCUCGAGUGUUUAACGUGUUUCUCUCAUCUGUCUGCGAGCAGAUGUCCUGCUUCUGGAAGAACAGAAAGAUGAAGCGAUUCGCCUUCAUCCGGGCAGGUAAAACCAUUAAAAUCUCCUCUCAGAGACUUCACGAUAUCCAGAGACCUUCAGCCGUCGCUGCAGACUGUAACAGAGAAACACAUUCAUUACUGAGAGAAGCAGCUCAUCUGUCCUUCUUCCUCUGGUCAUCCUCUUUUAUAAUGCACCAGUUUUCCUCGAGGUCUGGUAAAUAAGUAUUUCACAAAUGUACUUCGUUGUUUUUAAUCAGUUAUGUAUGUUUUAUCACACAACUUCAGUAAAAGUCACAGAGCAAAUACUGGUUUUCAUUUAAUUCAGGAAAGUUUGAAAAAAAAAAAAAAAAAACAUAACCUUAUCUGGAUAAUCUAGUCUGUGGUUAUGUACUGUACGUGUGCAUUCAUUUAUUCAUUUAUAUACCAUUUUUUAUUUCAGAA
Long non-coding RNA from Carassius auratus (goldfish), 1319 nucleotides. RefSeq lists it as uncharacterized. The record is from RefSeq and is a predicted model, not a curated record. The transcript is spliced from 3 exons. Lineage: Eukaryota; Metazoa; Chordata; Actinopteri; Cypriniformes; Cyprinidae.